RNAcentral lists this ribosomal RNA (380 nucleotides) under uncultured eukaryote. RNAcentral describes it as "partial 18S ribosomal RNA". It matches the Rfam family "Eukaryotic small subunit ribosomal RNA", at positions 592 to 975 of the family's 1831-position model. The record is from RNAcentral.
CAAUAGCGUAUAUUAAAGCUGUUGCGGUUAAAAAGCUCGUAGUUGGAUUUCUGUCAAAGACAACUGGUCCGCCCUCCGGGUGAGCACAUAGUUUGGUCUUGGCAUCUUGCUGGAAACUGUUGCUGCACUUGGUUGUGUGGCGCAGCAUCCAGCACUUUCACUUUGAGGAAAUUGGAGUGUUUCAAGCAGGCACAUGCCUUUGGACACAGUAGCAUGGAAUAAUUAGAUUGGGCUUUUGCUCCAAUUUGUCGGUUUCUGGAGCUGAGGUGAGAAUUAAUGGGGAUUGUUGGGGGCAUCCGAAUUUAGCCGUCAGAGGUGAAAUUCUUGGAUCUGCUAAAGACGGACAACUGCGAAAGCGUUUGCCCAGGAUGUUUNCAUUG